This 228-nucleotide long non-coding RNA is filed under the name Salvia miltiorrhiza (redroot sage). RNAcentral describes it as "long non-coding RNA (SMIL_LNC012861)". The record is from RNAcentral. Lineage: Eukaryota; Viridiplantae; Streptophyta; Magnoliopsida; Lamiales; Lamiaceae.
CAAAGCUAAGAUUUAAAAGUGCAACAACAAGGUGAUACAACUCAAUCCGAUCAGACCCAAUUCUCCGCUAAGGGUGAAUUUCCUAAUGCAAUUUCCUUUACAAUCAUGUCUCAUUCCUUUUCAUAAUCUUUCUAUUUUUCCUUUUUUUUUUUGGGUUAAGUUAUUUUCGCUCUUGAUAGAUGGGCCAUAAUUCACGAGAUUGAACUUUUGGGGGUGAUCCAAAAUGUU